GCCUCCUGAAUAGUCAGGGAUACAGUUUCCACCACGCCCAGGAGAAUAUAAGAAAACAUGGAUAUUCUUCAUCGGUUGGUUCGGUGGCCCCUUGUGAAAGAGAGGCGUGCCCCAGCAUGCUGUGGAAAAGACAGAUGACCCUGUUCUAGACCUCUGCUUCAGAAAAUCAAGCUCCACUCAGGUGGCCACUGCUUCUUCCAACCCUGGAAAUAAACAUCUUUUGCAUGUAAAAGAAUGUGCAUGGCCUCUCCAGGCAGGAGACUGAUUCUCAUCUUGCACCGAAUCUAGCUCCCCCUUCGAUCUUGUCAGGGAUCCUGCCAAGACAUGGAACCAGAAAAGAAAGAAAACACAAGAACAGCCAGGUCGAGCUGCAGCGCUGGUUAGACUCAUGGCCCAUGUGGAGCUGCAUCGCUGGUUGGAUUUAUGGCAGUUUCAGUUCAGGGUGGGGGCUCCUCUCUGGUCCGCUUUUCAUUUGUGUGAGUUGAGUUCCUCCUAAUUUCUGUUUCAUUGUUCACCUCCCAGAUAAUUCCAGAAAUGAGAAUGCCUUCCUUGGCCAGCAGCCUCCUGGCUCUGUGUGUCUGAACCAAUAAGGCAUGUUUCCUCUUGCUCCCCGCUUCUGAUGUUUUAUCAGGCUCCACAAUGUGUUUCUCAUGCUGUCUGCCCUGGAGUUUAUGCCCUGAACCAUGUUCAGGUGAGGAAAUUCCUCGAGAAGAUAAAUCACCGCAGAGAUAGCAAAGACCAUAUCUUGGCAGGGCUCCUGAGCUGAAUGUGGCCACAUGUGUUCCCAAGUGCAGACCUCCAAGGUCAGUCAAGCCCAAACAAGAAGCUCAAAUCGCAGAGGCCUCUGGAGUAGACGCCUUGUUGCUGAAGAAGCCUGCUGCGCACCUGAGCACUCAAUGGUUGUAUGCCCGGGACGCGUCUUCAUUAGGAAGCCUGAGAUUCACUGCUCCAUGCACGAGGGUUCUUCAGAGAAACAAAGUGGGAUUUGUGUAUUUACUUGUCUGGCUCACCUGACGAUGGAGGUGAAGUCUCACAACCAGCCAUCUGCACACUGGAGACCCAGGGAAGUUGGUGGCCCGGCUGGAAGGCAUCAGAGCUGAAGAGGUGAUGGUGUUGAUUCCAGCCCUGGUCCGAGGGCCGGAGGACCAGGAGCACUGAGAGCAGAAAACAACGUCUUGCCCCAGUGGUCAGGCAGAGCGGGCGGAUUCCUCCUUCCUCUGCCUUCUGUUCCAUUCAGACCCUCGCUGGGCAGGAGGAGACCCACCCACCCUGGGGAGGGCCAUCCGUGUGACUCUGCCCACCAACUUAAAUGUGACUCUCACCGGGAAACCCUGACUGACACCCUAUUUCCAUGUAGGGUUCUUUCUGGGGCACUGGGGGUACAGAUGUAAACAUGUUUGGGGGACACAGUCCAACCUGUAACAGGAAGGGACAGAUGUCUUAACUGGCUGCAGGAAAGCCAGCAUGAAAGUCGUAGAGGGCACAAAGUCCUGGGCCUGCACCCCGUAGGUGCUCACUCCAGACAAGCAAAUGUGGUUCAAAAUCACACUGGGCUGGAAGAGGGAGGGAUGCCCGGUUCUGAGUGUGGGUUUUGGUACCAGGCAACUGUGGGUUUGAAUCCAAGCUGUGUGACCCUGGGCCGCUUCCCCAACCUUUCUGAGACGGUUUCCCGUCCUGUGAAUCUAACCUAACCUGUAAGGUGGCAGUGAGGGCGAGAUCUGUAUUGGGUGAAAGCUUGUUGAAGGCACUGAAUUCUUAAACCAUCCUAGCCCUCAGUUUCCACACCUGUCAAAGAAGGAGGGGGAUUUUGAGGUCCAGACAGGACGCUGCAAGAGCCCAGAAGGAGACCAAUGAUGAGGAGCUCUGAACCCGGAAACCGUGACAGUCGAGGCUGCAGGGACUAAGCUGCAUGCUCUGUAUAGAGGGUGGAUGGCUGGCCCCUACCACCCCAGCCCAGCUGAGGAGCAGGUGGCCUUGCAGUGGGCUCCUUGGAUCCAUGUCACCUUUGUGGGUCACCUGGACAGCUCGGCACGGGGCCUUUGGUGUGGGAGUUCCCCAGGACAUGCAUUUUCACCUCCAGUAUACACUGGGGUUUUCUUUGCUGGUGAGAUGGUGGGAGCCCCAGGGUUUCUCUCGGCCCCAAGGAUUCUCAACCUGAUUCAGGAGAGAAGGCUAGCAUCCCUGGGGAUGCAAGAUGGCCCCAGUCCUGCCCAGGGCCUAAUUCCCUGUGGGAGACCUGAAGAGGCUCUGGAACAACAGUGCCACUUAAUUUUAGCUUGACAAUCGGCCUGUGGAGGAGAUGUCAGCACAGGACUAUUUAUAGCAAUUCCUGCCCCUGUAUGGUUAAUCUGCCUGUGUGGGUUGAACUGAAUUUUGCUUAAUGGCGAGAUGGAUUCAGACAAGCAGAUUUUUAGUCCAAACUAUGUCAAAUGGCCUUUUAGAUGACUUUCCCUCUUCAAUCAUUCAUUGCAUUGUUCAAUGAAUCUUUCUGGGGCAAUGACAGUGUGCCAGGCAGUGUCUCGGCACCGUGGAGACACGAGCAAAAGAGACAGGCCAGCCCCAUUCCCACACAGCUCACCCUCGAUGUGAGUGAAUAAUUGACCACUGGCAAAGCACCUACUGUGUGCCAGGCAGUAUUUUAGGCAGGCUUUCCUGGUAGACAACUGGGAACAGGACAGAUCAGUCCCUGUCUUUGCAAAACUCUCAGUCUAUUCAGCCAUUGAAACGAAUAAACUUUGACAUAGUACCUACUAUGUGCAGUGGUGAUGGGUGACGGUAGAGGGGCUGCAUGGCUCAGCCCUGCUCAGGCUGCUCCUGGCCUCACUCACAGUGCGAGGCGAGGGAAAGGCCACCACGUGGUGAAGCAAGAAGGAGGCUGAGGUGAGCCCAGGGACGCUGGCUCUACCGCUGGGUGUUCUGUGAUGAAGGGCAAGCCCCUAGCUUUGCUGGCCUCAGUUUCCACACCUGUAAGACAUU
Molecule: long non-coding RNA, 2976 nt
Organism: Piliocolobus tephrosceles (Ugandan red Colobus)
Lineage: Eukaryota; Metazoa; Chordata; Mammalia; Primates; Cercopithecidae
Exons: 3
Source: RefSeq, a predicted model, not a curated record